This 553-nucleotide ribosomal RNA is filed under the name Salmonella enterica. RNAcentral's name for it is "partial 23S ribosomal RNA". It matches the Rfam family "Bacterial large subunit ribosomal RNA", at positions 2212 to 2764 of the family's 2925-position model. Lineage: Bacteria; Pseudomonadati; Pseudomonadota; Gammaproteobacteria; Enterobacterales; Enterobacteriaceae. The record is from RNAcentral.
GUUUGAUGUUCUAACGUGGACCCGUGAUCCGGGUUGCGGACAGUGUCUGGUGGGUAGUUUGACUGGGGCGGUCUCCUCCUAAAGAGUAACGGAGGAGCACGAAGGUUGGCUAAUCCUGGUCGGACAUCAGGAGGUUAGUGCAAUGGCAUAAGCCAGCUUGACUGCGAGCGUGACGGCGCGAGCAGGUGCGAAAGCAGGUCAUAGUGAUCCGGUGGUUCUGAAUGGAAGGGCCAUCGCUCAACGGAUAAAAGGUACUCCGGGGAUAACAGGCUGAUACCGCCCAAGAGUUCAUAUCGACGGCGGUGUUUGGCACCUCGAUGUCGGCUCAUCACAUCCUGGGGCUGAAGUAGGUCCCAAGGGUAUGGCUGUUCGCCAUUUAAAGUGGUACGCGAGCUGGGUUUAGAACGUCGUGAGACAGUUCGGUCCCUAUCUGCCGUGGGCGCUGGAGAACUGAGGGGGGCUGCUCCUAGUACGAGAGGACCGGAGUGGACGCAUCACUGGUGUUCGGGUUGUCAUGCCAAUGGCACUGCCCGGUAGCUAAAUGCGGAAGAGA